Molecule: ribosomal RNA, 266 nt
Filed under: Colletotrichum sp. KCP1
Lineage: Eukaryota; Fungi; Ascomycota; Sordariomycetes; Glomerellales; Glomerellaceae
Description: partial 18S ribosomal RNA
Rfam family: Eukaryotic small subunit ribosomal RNA
Source: RNAcentral
UUAUAGACAUAGCCGAGACAAUGGUUAGCCGUAGAAACCCACCAUUCUUAGAGACUGGGUUGAGCACACCCUUGUUGACAGAGGGUACCGGAGGAAUAGGGCUCGACCCCGGAGAAGGAGCCUGAGAAACGGCUAAUACAUCCAAGGAAGGCAGCAGGCGCGCAAAUUACCCAAUCCCGACACGGGGAGGUAGUGACGAUAAAUACUGAUACAGGGCUCUUUUGGGUCUUGUAAUUGGAAUGAGUACAAUUAAAUCCCUUAGCGAG